UACGUAGGGCGCGAGCGUUGUCCGGAUUUAUUGGGCGUAAAGAGCUCGUAGGCGGCUUGUCGCGUCGACCGUGAAAACUUGGGGCUCAACCCCAAGCCUGCGGUCGAUACGGGCAGGCUCGAGUUCGGUAGGGGAGACUGGAAUUCCUGGUGUAGCGGCGAAAUGCGCAGAUAUCAGGAGGAACACCGGUGGCGAAGGCGGGUCUCUGGGCCGAUACUGACGCUGAGGAGCGAAAGCGUGGGGAGCGAACAGG
Molecule: ribosomal RNA, 253 nt
Filed under: uncultured bacterium
Lineage: Bacteria
Description: partial 16S ribosomal RNA
Rfam family: Bacterial small subunit ribosomal RNA
Source: RNAcentral